RNAcentral lists this transfer RNA (74 nucleotides) under Merluccius polli (Benguela hake). It matches the Rfam family "tRNA". Rfam says of the family: Transfer RNA (tRNA) molecules are approximately 80 nucleotides in length. Their secondary structure includes four short double-helical elements and three loops (D, anti-codon, and T loops). The record is from Rfam by way of RNAcentral. Lineage: Eukaryota; Metazoa; Chordata; Actinopteri; Gadiformes; Merlucciidae.
GUUUCUGUAGUGUCAGUGGUUAUCACGUUCGCUUUACACGCGAAAGGUCCCUGGUUCGAAACCGGGCAGAAGCA